AAAGCGGAAACCGAAAAGCUAAACGAGUAGGUA
This 33-nucleotide non-coding RNA is filed under the name unclassified sequences. RNAcentral describes it as "DUF805b RNA". It matches the Rfam family "DUF805b RNA". From Rfam's summary of the family: Bacteroidetes, Chlorobi (1 example), Proteobacteria. The record is from RNAcentral.